RNAcentral lists this ribosomal RNA (99 nucleotides) under Escherichia coli. Its description in RNAcentral is "partial 16S ribosomal RNA". The stretch from base 1 to 89 matches the Rfam family "Bacterial small subunit ribosomal RNA", at positions 1445 to 1533 of the family's 1533-position model. The record is from RNAcentral. Lineage: Bacteria; Pseudomonadati; Pseudomonadota; Gammaproteobacteria; Enterobacterales; Enterobacteriaceae. RNAcentral also lists the same sequence under 14 other names.
GGAGGGCGCUUACCACUUUGUGAUUCAUGACUGGGGUGAAGUCGUAACAAGGUAACCGUAGGGGAACCUGCGGUUGGAUCACCUCCUUACCUUAAAGAA